GGGCGGUUAGUUCAGUGGUUGGAACGCUUGCUUGACAUGCAAGAGGUCGUAGGUUCGAUUCCUACACCGCCCA
RNAcentral lists this transfer RNA (73 nucleotides) under Thermodesulfobium narugense DSM 14796. It matches the Rfam family "tRNA". From Rfam's summary of the family: Transfer RNA (tRNA) molecules are approximately 80 nucleotides in length. Their secondary structure includes four short double-helical elements and three loops (D, anti-codon, and T loops). RNAcentral also lists the same sequence under 1 other name. Lineage: Bacteria; Pseudomonadati; Thermodesulfobiota; Thermodesulfobiia; Thermodesulfobiales; Thermodesulfobiaceae. The record is from Rfam by way of RNAcentral.